CCAAGCUGCAGCCAGAAAUAGGUGUCUGGUGGCUAUCUCCAGGUCUUGUUGCUCUGCUCCUGAAGGACCAGCCUUGUGUUUGGAUUGGGCUCCUACAGAAUAUUUAUGGAACUGAGGCUCAAGAAUGAAGUCAUUUCUUACAUAUGAUUGCCCUGCAGUGAUCAGCAGUAAGUUGUUGUGGACUUGGAAGUAACGGCAUUAUUGACAAAAAAAGUGGAAUAAAACUUAAAGGGGCAAGAGGACAGUGAUGGAGAGAACUGCAUCAGGAGUCACUCACCAUAGCCAGGAGAUACUCUCCUCUCUGGGUUUUCGUGGCACUAUUCCUUCGACCUGUUUGACUGCUUCUUGGCUGAAUCAUCAUCUAUAUCAAUUUCUAGAGUAUCAACAAAAUAACAAGCUGGAGGAUGAAGGAUGGACAACAACAAUGAACAGGACAUUUAUUUGUAGCGUGGUGUAAAUGCCGACAUUGAAGCUUUAGCAACUGGCUCUCAGGAGCUAUUUUGACCAGGAUCCAGCACAAUCUGGGAACAACCUAGUUGAGUUCCCAGUGGUCCAACAUCAGAGGUAUGGAGAAGUUGAAAUCUGCAUCAGUGGAUUCUAGUCCCUUGAAGUCCUGAAGUGACGAAGUAUGUUGAAAUAUGUUGUGCCAUAUAUUAUGUUUCAUGCAGGUGCAUCUUCUCUCCCCAAGCAGACUGUCAGCUUCUUUGACUUUUGUCACAAGUCUUGACUUUUCUUGUCUCUCUCAAUGCUGAGCUCAUAAAUAGCAGAUACUGGUUAUUUUUAAAAUUUUUGUUGGUAUUUUUUGUUUUUACAUCAUCUUUAUGUUCCUAAAUAUC
Long non-coding RNA from Dromiciops gliroides (monito del monte), 836 nucleotides. RefSeq lists it as uncharacterized. The record is from RefSeq and is a predicted model, not a curated record. The transcript is spliced from 5 exons. NCBI's taxonomy places the organism in Eukaryota, Metazoa, Chordata, Mammalia, Microbiotheria, Microbiotheriidae.